This 253-nucleotide ribosomal RNA is filed under the name uncultured bacterium. RNAcentral's name for it is "partial 16S ribosomal RNA". It matches the Rfam family "Bacterial small subunit ribosomal RNA", at positions 524 to 776 of the family's 1533-position model. The record is from RNAcentral.
AACGUAGGACGCAAGCGUUAUCCGGAAUUACUGGGCGUAAAGCGCGUGUAGGUGGUUGUGCAAGUCACUGUUGAAAGCUCCCGGCUAAACUGGGAGAGGUGCGGUGAGACUGUGCGACUGGAGUAUGGGAGAGGGGUGCGGAAUUCCGGGUGUAGUGGUGAAAUGCGUAGAUAUCCGGAGGAACACCAGAGGCGAAGGCGGCACCCUGGUCUGAUACUGACACUGAGACGCGAAAGCAUGGGGAGCGAACGGG